RNAcentral lists this ribosomal RNA (278 nucleotides) under uncultured bacterium. Its description in RNAcentral is "partial 16S ribosomal RNA". It matches the Rfam family "Bacterial small subunit ribosomal RNA", at positions 506 to 784 of the family's 1533-position model. The record is from RNAcentral.
UGCCAGCAGCCGCGGUAAUACAUAGGUCGCAAGCGUUAUCCGGAAUUAUUGGGCGUAAAGAGUUCGUAGGUGGUUUUGUAAGUCUGAAGUUAAAUACCGGGGCUCAACCCCGGCCCGCUUUGGAUACUGCAAAACUAGAGUAAUAGAGAGGUUAGUGGAACUCCAAGUGAAGCGGUGGAAUGCGUAGAUAUUUGGAAGAACACCAAUGGCGAAGGCAACUAACUGGAUAUUAACUGACACUGAGGAACGAAAGCGUGGGUAGCAAACAGGAUUAGAUA